This 45-nucleotide non-coding RNA is filed under the name Schistosoma haematobium. Lineage: Eukaryota; Metazoa; Platyhelminthes; Trematoda; Strigeidida; Schistosomatidae. RNAcentral also lists the same sequence under 1 other name. The record is from RNAcentral.
CUCCAGCUGACGAGUCCCAAACAGGACGAAACGCGCGUCCUGGAU